Molecule: long non-coding RNA, 276 nt
Filed under: Microcebus murinus (gray mouse lemur)
Lineage: Eukaryota; Metazoa; Chordata; Mammalia; Primates; Cheirogaleidae
Description: lncRNA (ENSMICG00000048770.1)
Source: RNAcentral
CCUGCUGCCUGGAAACAAAUCAUCCCAGAUCUGAACAGACAGAGCACACACUUCUUUUAUAGAAGAGAAGGAUGUAUUCCAGGGUGUCCUUCAAGAGAGAGCAAAUUGGUUCCUCUAUUUAUGUGUCCUAGUUUAUUUCAGAAUCUUCUCAGACUAAGGGUGAUUAAAUGAUAAAGGAAAAUGUGUGCAUGGCAUCCAGGCACUCGCUAAAACCUGCAUGGAAGGUGAGAUGAGCCUAUUUUCUGAUUAUGAUCAUUUGUUAAGAAAGUAUUUGAA